UCAGGAUGAACGCUGGCGGCGUAGCCUAAUACAUGCAAGUCGAACGAGGUAGCAAUACCGAGUGGCGAACGGGUGAGUAACACGUAGGUAACCUGCCCUUAAGCUUGGGAUACCCAGAGGAAACUUUGGCUAAUACCGGAUAACAACAGAGAAGGCAUCUUCUUUGACUUGAAAGGCCCCUUCAAGGGUCACUUAAGGAUGGACCUGCGGCGCAUUAGCUAGUUGGUGAGAUAACAGCCCACCAAGGCGAGGAUGCGUAGCCGAACUGAGAGGUUGAUCGGCCACAUUGGAACUGAGACACGGUCCAAACUCCUACGGGAGGCAGCAGUAAGGAGUUUUCGGCAAUGGGGGAAACCCUGACCGAGCAACGCCGCGUGAGCGAUGACGGCCCUAUGGGUUGUAAAGCUCUGUUGUAAGCCAUGAAUGACAGCUUGAGGAAAUGCAAGUUGUUUGACGACAGCUUACCAGAAGGCCACGGCUAACUACGUGCCAGCCGCUGC
Molecule: ribosomal RNA, 500 nt
Filed under: uncultured bacterium
Lineage: Bacteria
Description: bacterial SSU rRNA
Rfam family: Bacterial small subunit ribosomal RNA
Source: RNAcentral